ACAAUAGAAUUGCUCUGAAGCUGGAAAGACCCUUCCGGGGCCUUUCCAGCCAAUGGGUAACAGGGGCAACCCUGUUGUCUGCCAUCUUUGCAAAGGAGCCCGUAGAAACUGCUU
This 114-nucleotide non-coding RNA is filed under the name Eubacterium limosum. RNAcentral describes it as "MoCo sequence". It matches the Rfam family "Molybdenum/Tungsten riboswitch aptamer (Moco RNA motif)". Lineage: Bacteria; Bacillati; Bacillota; Clostridia; Eubacteriales; Eubacteriaceae. RNAcentral also lists the same sequence under 1 other name. The record is from RNAcentral.